Molecule: long non-coding RNA, 585 nt
Filed under: Pongo abelii (Sumatran orangutan)
Lineage: Eukaryota; Metazoa; Chordata; Mammalia; Primates; Hominidae
Description: lincRNA
Source: RNAcentral
UAGAGAUGGGGUUUUACCUUGUUAGCCAAGAUGGUCUUGAUCUCCUGACCUCGUGAUCCGCCCGCCUCGGCCUCCCAAAGUGCUGGGAUUACAGGCGUGAGCCACCAUGCUCGGUCCUAUAUUCCUUUUAAUUCCUGUCGAGUAUCUUCAGGUGACUACAGAUGUGUUAACACCCAGCAUGUUCCGGUAGGAGACUUUCUGGAUGGGGAAGAUUUCCAGGUGUGAAUCACGGCAAUACAGUGAAAGACGGUGAUUUACUGCUUUUGAGGGCGUGCAUGUAUAUGAUUAAGGGAUGGAAGUGCAGGACUCCAAGAUUUACUUCCUUCCCUUUCCAGCAGAACUACCUGAGAGGAGUGAGUAAUGGGAUAAUUUGUAAUACCACAGGCCCCUUUUCAAGGGAUCAGUAAUCAAAACAGGAAGAUGAAACUGAGAAGAUUUCAACUGGAAGAAUACAACUUUUGAUACUUUCUGGAUAUACCUCUUAAUUGCAAGCAGGAGAGUCUUCAGAGUUUUCCUGUUUUUUUUUUUUUUUGUUGUUGUUGUUGUUGUUUGAGAUGGAGUUUUGCUCUUAUUACCCGGGCUGGA